CGCGAAAAACCUUACCCACCUUUGACAUGGCAGGAACUUUCCAGAGAUGGAUUGGUGCUCGAAAGAGAACCUGCACACAGGUGCUGCAUGGCUGUCGUCAGCUCGUGUCGUGAGAUGUUGGGUUAAGUCCCGCAACGAGCGCAACCCUUGUCAUUAGUUGCUACAUUCAGUUGGGCACUCUAAUGAGACUGCCGGUGACAAACCGGAGGAAGGUGGGGAUGACGUCAAGUCCUCAUGGCCCUUAUAGGUGGGGCUACACACGUCAUACAAUGGCUGGUACAAAGGGUUGCCAACCCGCGAGGGGGAGCUAAUCCCAUAAAGCCAGUCGUAGUCCGGAUCGCAGUCUGCAACUCGACUGCGUGAAGUCGGAAUCGCUAGUAAUCGUGGAUCAGAAUGUCACGGUGAAUACGUUCCCGGGUCUUGUACACACCGCCCGUCACACCAUGGGAGCGGGUCUCGCCAGAAGUAGGUAGCCUAACCGCAAGGAGGGCGCUUACCACGGCGGGGUUCGUGACUGGGGUGAAGUCGUAACAAGGUAGCCGUAUCGGAAGG
This 552-nucleotide ribosomal RNA is filed under the name uncultured bacterium. RNAcentral's name for it is "bacterial SSU rRNA". It matches the Rfam family "Bacterial small subunit ribosomal RNA", at positions 960 to 1512 of the family's 1533-position model. The record is from RNAcentral.